GUGAAUGUAUGAUUUUCUAACCCUCAACUUUUUCGUUGUUUUUGUCAGCAUAAUAGAAUUCAACAUGUGUGUAUAUAUGUAUCUUCUUUGUUUUCAUUCAAAAUCACUCUUUAAGGUCGAAAUUUUCGCUCAGACAAGAGUUAGUUGGAUCAAAAUUGAAGUUUUGUGAUUACUAAUAUUAUUUUUUUUUAUAGUUUACAGGCCGUAGAUGAAUGUUAGUUGACUUUGAAGAAUUUCUUGUGUAAAGGUUAGGUUUAAUUGUAUUGUUUUGAUAUUUUUAUUAUCUUAUUGUUUUAUUUUAAUUUAUAGAUGUUAGAUGAAUGUCGGUCGGUUUUGAAAUGUUUUUUAGCCCUUCAUUAAAAGAUUCUUUUUUAGACAAAACUUUCUUUUCACUAUUUUUUUAAUUUAUUAUUUAUUAUUUUUUAUUAUAUUAACUAGACUUCCUAAAAUAUAUGGUAGGAGAAUUAAGUAAUAUUUUCCUUUUUAUUAGACUUCCUAAAAUAUAGAGACUCCUAAAAUAUAUGGUAGAAAAAUUAAUUAAUAUUUUUCUUUCUACUUUUCAAUUAGAAAAAUACUCCUAAAAUAGGACUGCAUUAAGGAAAUCCUUCUAUAAAUAUUGAGGUGGACGUUACACUAGAGUACAGACCAGUUUGCCUAUUGGGAGAAUAUGAUUGAUGCUCAUCUAACUUGAUUCGAUUGUAUGUCUAGAUUGGUGAAUGUAUGAUUUUCUAACCCUCAACUUUUUCGUUGUUUUUGUCAGCAUAAUAGAAUUCAACAUGUGUGUAUAUAUGUAUCUUCUUUGUUUUCAUUCAAAAUCACUCUUUAAGGUCAAAAUUUUCGCUCAGACAAGAGUUAGUUGGAUCAAAAUCGAAGUUUUGUGAUCACUAUUAUAUUAUUUUUUUAUAGUUUACAUGCCGUAGAUGAAUGUUAGUUGGCUUUGAAGAAUUUCUUGUGUAAAGGUUAGGUUUAAUUGUAUUGUUUUGAUAUCUUUAUUAUCUUAUUGUUUUAUUUUAAUUUAUAGAUGUU
This 1026-nucleotide long non-coding RNA is filed under the name Capsicum annuum. RNAcentral describes it as "long non-coding RNA (CANN_LNC000560)". Lineage: Eukaryota; Viridiplantae; Streptophyta; Magnoliopsida; Solanales; Solanaceae. The record is from RNAcentral.